Molecule: long non-coding RNA, 1706 nt
Organism: Dryobates pubescens (Downy woodpecker)
Lineage: Eukaryota; Metazoa; Chordata; Aves; Piciformes; Picidae
Exons: 5
Source: RefSeq, a predicted model, not a curated record
UAAAUGGGUCAAAAAGUGGUGGAGAACUGGGUUAGAAAGAGGUGAAGGUGAAGAUCAUUAGAGGUUUUAGGGCUGGCUGUGGCUGUUUUGCUGGGUUUGUGUGACUGUGCCCAGAGGGCGGAGUUCCUGCACAUUCCUACCUCACCGGAGAACCUGCCCUCAACUCCACUGCAGCUACUCCAGAGAGAUGGGACCCUCCAGAAGAAACCUGCCCAGCAAUCCCAGCAAGCCUUCCCGCCAGAAGGAUCCAAGGAGAACCUGCCUCUACCUGCACGAUGGCACUUGGGAAUGGGAGUCUUCCACCGGCACAGGAUCACUGGAGGCAAACAUCGAAUUAAUUGGAUCUCACUGACUGAGAUCUCUCCUCCUGUCUUCCGAGAGGGUUGAACUGUAAAUCUGUCUCAAAUGAUGCACCCCUAAAAUGUAGGUAUCUGGAGGAAGAAGGUGACGUGACAAGAAACGUCUGACAAGCAAAGUGGGGAACUGUCCAGGAGAAGGAUCCGUGAUGAAUGAGGUCUGCGUGGUCAUGAUGCAACAGCAGAACAGGACAGCGUGCUGCCACCAAAUGCCGGUUUUUGUUCGCUAGAACCAAAAAGGAAAAUGGAGAGGGGGAGGCAGUGGGGGUUAGGAGGGAGCGAUCGGAGAAGUUAGUGGCUGUCUGGAAUGUAAACACGACUCCAUCAUCUCCUCUGGAAAUGGGGAGGCUGCGUUUGCCAAACGUACUAGAGCCCAGCGAGAGGCAGGGGCGGCACCGGACCGUUCCAAAAUGCUGCCAUGGAAUCUGGAUCCAAGACGGAUCUAAGGACAGUACUACACAAAGUAAUCAGUCCCGAAAUCUCCCAGUCGCAUGUCCGAGGUUAAGCCAGCCUCUUUGGUAAUUGCCGAAAAAUCGUAGAGAACAAGAUUUGCCCCUGGGUAAAGGAUCGGUUGGGAGGGGGAGGGAGGAGAAGCAAGCAAGACGGGACGAGAUAAGUCAAACCCCACUAAAACUGCAAACAUGAUUUAAUUCCUUGGGUGACUUUGUGCAGAUCUGUCUUUCUCGGCCUUGGCGGAAAUGUUCCCGCGGCGAGCGUGUAACUUCUUGCGUUGUUUUUGACCGUGCACUGUAUUGCCAUAAUGCCAAUAAACGCAUAAACCGCGUCUGACCAGCGGCCAGCAGAUGCUCCAGCCUCUCAGGCCCGAACUACACGAGGUCUAUCCCCUGCCAGGGCUGCGAGGUCCUUCCCUGCUUUAGGGUACUUUUGGUGCUCUGGGAAAACGCGGGUGGACGGGUGGGAAGCUUUUGCCCCGGCCGCUGGGUUCUCUUUCCUCGGAGGGGCCAUUCCGGGCUUGCAGAGACAAGGGCUCUCUUCGUUUCAGCGAGGCCAGGAUUUCAGGACUUUUAAGUGCAACGGCCAGAGACACCCGUGACAGAAUUUGGCCCCACUUAGUAGCUGCCUAUAAGGAGAAGCAGCUCUCCCAGGGACGAAUUCCCUGGUGUGAACCGUGGCCCAUAUCGCUCACCCUUCCAGUAAACGCCAGCAGAUGGAUGCAAUUAAACCUCGGCGAUCCUCCGCGGCCGGACACUGAUACAGAGUGUGAGAGGGUUGGCCAUUGUGCAGUGCCUAUCGUGUAGUACUCACCCCCAGCAGCUGCCACAGGAAGGACUAAAGAAACGUGGAUGCCCCGAGUUUCUCCUUCCUAUAACACGGGGAGCACAGAAAGAC